AUCCGGCUGACGAGUUCCAAAUAGGAUGGAACGUGCGUCCUGGAU
Molecule: non-coding RNA, 45 nt
Filed under: Schistosoma mansoni
Lineage: Eukaryota; Metazoa; Platyhelminthes; Trematoda; Strigeidida; Schistosomatidae
Source: RNAcentral